CUUCCUUUGCUCCCCCCCCCCCACUUUCAAACCUUUGUCGGAGCCCAAAAAACUAUUUUCGAGUGUUUUGAUUUGCCCAAGCUUUAUAGAUUUUCAGCACAUUUCUUCGUCUACAAAGACAUAUUUGUAUAAUAAAACUCCUGUUUGAAUAAACGCGGAUAUCAACGAGGAGCAGGACCGUAGCUACCAUUGUUCUUGAGGAGCUCGCCCCCCCCCCCCAAUCCUUCCUAAAAUUUUCUUAAAUCCUACUUCCAAUUAACAAUCCCUUUGCUCUUAUUGUUCUCAAACAAUGCCCCGUAAUGAAAGCCAGUUAAGGGUUGUGCCAUGAAGUAAUAACGAUCAAUGUAAGUAAAUUGUACCAGGAAAAACUUUUUUUUAAUAAACGACGUUUCGAGCAUAGCCUGUUAUCAAGUGUCAUGAAGUAGACAGCAAAUUCAGAUUUGAACUGAAUUAAAGCUAGAAGCAGCGGGUAUCUUCAACUGAGGUGAGUUCUUUCGGGAGGCCUAUGCAUGAACUCCAGCAAAGCGCAGGUAGGGGAACUGAUGAGCUAUUCACGCGACACGUUUUGGUUUGGGCUUCGUCACGAGAGAAGCCUCUCCUAUGAUUUUAAUGGAAAGGUCCUGAUAACGUUUUUGCAAGAGCAAGAGUGACUCAAUGGAUAGCUAAACCUCUAAACUUUCAAGCGUGUGGCUCCCAUAUAGACCUAUUUUUGUUAUGAUAUCCUAUACUGGCAAUUGUAACUUAGCGGUUUGAUAAAAAUAAAAUUGACAAAUGAUGUGCGUGUCCCUUGUUCGGUCAUAUGAGCUCUCAUGAAAUUCAAUAUUAGUUUCAGCUUUUGUCUGCACACAAUUGCAACCUGUCCGCUUGCGAACGGGCUACCAAAGAUACGUCGAGUGAUAAAACAUAAAAGCGAUGCAACUUUAAAGCAAGGCUGUGCAACAAGAUUACUUUAUUGCUGUGUUACAGUUACCACAAGGUUUCUUAAGCAAGCAUCUUUGUUGUCUUGAAGAUCAAAACUUGUCCU
Rhopilema esculentum is the source of this 1024-nucleotide non-coding RNA. The record is from RefSeq and is a predicted model, not a curated record. Lineage: Eukaryota; Metazoa; Cnidaria; Scyphozoa; Rhizostomeae; Rhizostomatidae.